This 465-nucleotide ribosomal RNA is filed under the name uncultured bacterium. RNAcentral's name for it is "partial 16S ribosomal RNA". It matches the Rfam family "Bacterial small subunit ribosomal RNA", at positions 338 to 795 of the family's 1533-position model. The record is from RNAcentral.
CCUACGGGCGGCAGCAGUGGGGAAUAUUGCGCAAUGGGCGAAAGCCUGACGCAGCGACGCCGCGUGAGGGAUGAAGGUCUUCGGAUCGUAAACCUCUGUCAGCAGGGAAGAACGGUCACUGUGCUAAUCAGCAGUGAAUUGACGGUACCUGCAAAGGAAGCACCGGCUAACUCCGUGCCAGCAGCCGCGGUAAUACGGAGGGUGCGAGCGUUAAUCGGAAUUACUGGGCGUAAAGCGCUCGUAGGCGGUAUGUCAAGUCAAGGGUGAAAUCCCCGCGCUCAACGUGGGAACUGCCUUUGAAACUGGCAAACUGGAGUGUGUGAGAGGAUAGUGGAAGUCCAGGUGUAGGAGUGAAAUGCGUAGAUAUCUGGAGGAACAUCAGUGGCGAAGGCGACUAUCUGGCACAUAACUGACGCUGAGGAGCGAAAGCGUGGGUAGCAAACAGGAUUAGAUACCCGGGUAGUC